UACGAAGGGGGCUAGCGUUGCUCGGAAUGACUGGGCGUAAAGGGCGCGUAGGCGGUUUGGACAGUCAGAUGUGAAAUUCCUGGGCUCAACCUGGGGGCUGCAUUUGAUACGUUCGGACUAGAGUGGGGAAGAGGGUCGUGGAAUUCCCAGUGUAGAGGUGAAAUUCGUAGAUAUUGGGAAGAACACCGGUGGCGAAGGCGGCUCACUGGCUCGUAACUGACGCUCAUGCACGACAGCGUGGGGAUCAAACAGG
RNAcentral lists this ribosomal RNA (253 nucleotides) under uncultured bacterium. RNAcentral's name for it is "partial 16S ribosomal RNA". It matches the Rfam family "Bacterial small subunit ribosomal RNA", at positions 524 to 776 of the family's 1533-position model. The record is from RNAcentral.